UUAGAACGUCAUGCUGAGCUUGCCGAAGCAUCUCUACCGCUUCGUAUAAGCCAUUCAACGAAGCGGUAGAGAUGCUUCGGCAAGCUCAGCAUGACGUUCUGGUGGGUUGAUUAUUUUCCAAACGACUUCCCUGAUUGCUUCUCAACAAAAAACCCCGCCGGACAUAUCCGGCGGGGUUUU
RNAcentral lists this non-coding RNA (180 nucleotides) under Hymenobacter glacialis. RNAcentral describes it as "Aggregatibacter sRNA 41". It matches the Rfam family "Aggregatibacter sRNA 41". Rfam says of the family: Validated by RT-PCR, expression up-regulated during growth. Lineage: Bacteria; Pseudomonadati; Bacteroidota; Cytophagia; Cytophagales; Hymenobacteraceae. The record is from Rfam by way of RNAcentral.